UGCUUUAAAAAUGAGAGUUGAUUUAAAAAAAAAAGUACACACAAGAAGAAAGGUAACUAACUGCCCUGGAUUGCAAAGACUGGGGUGGACCUCUUUCUCAGUGUCCAGUGUCCUGUGGCAUACAUUCAGGGCAAUACAA
RNAcentral lists this small nucleolar RNA (139 nucleotides) under Mus spretus (western wild mouse). RNAcentral describes it as "predicted gene, 22588 (ENSMSPG00010020297.1)". It matches the Rfam family "Small nucleolar RNA SNORA81". The record is from RNAcentral. Lineage: Eukaryota; Metazoa; Chordata; Mammalia; Rodentia; Muridae.